CAUAUAUCAAUGGCCUCCAGGAUGGAGACGGUGGAGGAGCAGAAGGGGAUGGGGAGCAGGACGGAGGCCCAGAGAGAAGAGAGAAGGCCCACCCAGCUGAGCAGGGGAUACAGGCAGGAAAGAGGGGCCAGGCUGCAGGAGAGAGAGGAAUGAGAAAAUACAGGCAGGGAGCGAGAAAGAGAAAGAAAAAAUAGUGGAGAGGGGGAGGAAUUAAAAAAUGGGGGCAGGGAGCCAGACAGAGUGCGACGGGGAGAGACCAAAAUUAGCAAUUCUGGGCAACUGCCCCCAUUUCUUGAGCACUCCCCAGGAAAUGCAUUACCGGGAGCCUCAAGGAAUGUGCUGCCUGCCAAAGCCCUGCCCUGGCCCCAGUCCUGUGCCCUAGUAUUGGUGACGAGCAUUGCCUUGCAUAGUGGCCAGGACUGAGGGAAGAAAAGGACAGCUGGGGGGAAAAAAAUCACCGAGCUGGGUUUUGGUUUUGUUUUGGUUUUUUUUUCUUGAUGGUUUUGCUUUUAAAAAGAAUAGUAUUUAAGCUCUAAAUACAAACUGCAAGGAAAAAGGAACCAGGCGUACCAGUCUGGACACAUUUAAAGCCUGAACCCAUUCAACAGCUGCACCACCCACCACUCCUGCUGCCCACACUCCACCGCCUGCCUGCAGGCUGGGUUAAAGACUCAUCCAUCAAGUGCUGGCUCAGGACCAUGCCGGGGCAAAUGGCACUGCUUUUCUGGAUCCCAUGGCAGCGAUGGGCAAAGGAACAGGGAGACCCAGUGGAGUCGUAGCGUGCGCUGGAGAGUGUUCUUCAGGAAGGUGACAGCCGAUUGCAGAGCAACGCUGAGACGCACCUGACAGCAAAGGUGCCCGGUGGCCACGGACGAGCCUAGGUGAGCUGGUUCUCUUGGAGGCCAAGCAAAGCAGCCUUCCUCUGCCCCUGGUUUUGUGAGAUAUG
Molecule: long non-coding RNA, 946 nt
Organism: Harpia harpyja (harpy eagle)
Lineage: Eukaryota; Metazoa; Chordata; Aves; Accipitriformes; Accipitridae
Exons: 3
Source: RefSeq, a predicted model, not a curated record